GAAAGAGAAAUCGGUGAGAGAUGGAUCCGCGUCCGAUUAGCUAGUUGGAGGGGUAACAGCCCACCAAGGCGACGAUCGGUAGCCGACCUGAGAGGGUGGACGGCCACAUUGGGACUGAGACACGGCCCAAACUCCUACGGGAGGCAGCAGUGGGGAAUAUUGCACAAUGGGGGAAACCCUGAUGCAGCAACGCCGCGUGAGUGAGGAAGUAUUUCGGUAUGUAAAGCUCUAUCAGCAGGGAAUAGAAAAGAAGGUACCUGAAAAAGAAGCCCCGGCUAACUACGUGCCAGCAGCCGCGGUAAUACGUAGGGGGCAAGCGUUAUCCGGAUUUACUGGGUGUAAAGGGAGCGUAGACGGAAAGGCAAGUCAGAAGUGAAAACCCAAGGCUCAACCAUGGGACUGCUUUUGAAACUGUCAAACUAGAGUACGGGAGAGGUAAGAGGAAUUCCUAGUGUAGCGGUGAAAUGCGUAGAUAUUAGGAGGAACACCAGUGGCGAAGGCGUCUUACUGGACCGAAACUGACGUUGAGGCUCGAAAGCGUGGGGAGCAAACAGGAUUAGAUACCCUGGUAGUCCACGCGGUAAACGAUGAAUACUAGGUGUUGGGG
RNAcentral lists this ribosomal RNA (607 nucleotides) under uncultured bacterium. Its description in RNAcentral is "bacterial SSU rRNA". It matches the Rfam family "Bacterial small subunit ribosomal RNA", at positions 202 to 828 of the family's 1533-position model. The record is from RNAcentral.